Molecule: unclassified non-coding RNA, 5525 nt
Filed under: Leishmania donovani
Lineage: Eukaryota; Euglenozoa; Kinetoplastea; Trypanosomatida; Trypanosomatidae
Description: gene:LdHU3.29.1850(CDS-product:Heat_shock_protein _100_kDa)
Source: RNAcentral
GCUACAAAACAUAUCACGCUCUCUAUCUCUCUAUUUCCCCCUCACCCGUAUUAUUACAGUCGCGAGACAUCAAAAAACAAGCAAACAACACGAGCGUAUUGAAGCCCGCGCUGUUGUUGGUUGUUGGCUUUAUUGUUGGUGUGUGCUUCUUACCUCUUCCGUCGCUUCCCGCCCCCUCUUCCUCUCUUCGUCACGUCGGCUUCUUCACUUCCGCUGUUUUUUUUUUUCGUGUUUGUCUUCUCUGUGUGUGCUCUCUUUUUUACUUUUUGGAUAUUACUACUGCCGGGUCGUAACUCGUUUCACUCGCCGUCGUUGUCCUUCGCUGCACCGUGUGCUGCCGGGGCUUGGUGCCGGAUUUUUACUUUCUCGACUCCCCCUUCUCUCUAUCCUCGUGUCAUUUCGUGUGCUGUCGUCUCGCUUCGCUUUUGGGCCGUCCACUCGCGAGUCGUGCAGUGAAACAGAGCGACAGGACGACGUACGGGGAAAAAAAGGAGGGCCAAAACACGGAGAGUCAGCCCACUACUCCGCCCGGUGCACCUGCCGCGCCGCGCCCCUCCUGCUUCUCCGCUUCUCACCACAUUAGACUUUGGCGACGAAACGAGUGCGGCUAAGCCCCACCGACGCGAAGACGAUUUGAAAGGGCACCUGCGCUGCCCAACGCCUCGUUUUUAUUGCUCCGUGUGAGUCUUUUCAAUUCCAAUCGUUGCUGUUGCUUUCGCUGAGCGUUUUCGGUACGCGCGCUCUCUCUGUCUCUCCAUUGGCCAGUCGGCUAACAGGCGUACAACGGAAGCGCAAAAAACAACAACAACUACCAUCACCACCACCACAACGGGAAAGACAGAUCCAGCACCACAUCAUACAAGGACAUCCAGAGAGACGCGCAGUAUCCCGCUCCCUUUCUUUAUCUCGUCCAUUUCGUCGUUCCGGUGUCCCUUCCCUCGCACGUGCCGCCUUUAAGCUCUUUAUGCGCUUCCUUUUUCUUUCUUUCUUUCCUUUUUCGCUCGCGUGAAGUGGCCUGCCUCGCUUGUCUGCCGUGGACGUGCUUGCUCGUUGAGUUUUUGCCGCCUCAUCGAGCAUCCAAAGAGGGAAAAGAACAAAACAGACACAGCUGGGCAUCCACGCGUACCCACAGACGCACCAGCGGCGAACAGAAAACAAGCUCGCUCAUCUCUUCCUCUUUCUGUGUACAUGUGAGAAGCGGUGAAAUAACACGGGCAAACACGCGAAACGGAGGACCCACGCGUUGCCGGUUCUUGUAAAGAGGAUACAAGUCUUACUUUCUCUCCUCUCUGGCACACACACACACACACACACACCGUCUCCGACCCACCUUUGUUUUUAUUCUGCAUCCUUCCCUUGAACUCUCCCGUAUUCCCCCUUCUCUCUUUCUGUAGUCAUGACGACACAGCAGCCAGAAUGGACGCAGGCGGCGUCGGACUUGAUGGCGCGCACCGCGGCAUUGGCACGCAAGAAGGCAAACGGCUACCUCGACCCCGUGCACCUCGCCUACGUCAUGUUUGAAGAUGAAAACAGUCUUGCCUCUCGUGUCGUGCGCAAGCUCGGGGCCGCCUCAGUGAAGGAUGGACUGGAGGCGCGUGUUGACGCGAUUCCCACGCAGAUGCCUGCGCCCACGCAGCCGCGGCCCAACUCGGACAUGAUGCGUGUAAUGAACACGGCGGAGCAGGAGCGUGUUGCCCUCGGUGACACCCUCAUGGCCGCUGACCACUUUCUCCUGGCCCUGCACGAGAGCAAGGAGGUUGGCAGAAUCCUGGAUGCUGCAGGGGCUGGCAAGAAGGCGAUUCGCGCCACGCUGCUCGAGAUGCGCAAGGGGAAAAAGAUAAACUCCGACUUCCAAGACGACAACUACGAGUCGCUGAACAAGUACGCAGUUGAUCUCUGCAAGCAGGCGGAGGACGGAAAGCUGGACCCGGUUAUUGGUCGCGCAGACGAGAUUCUGCGCACUAUCCGUGUGCUGUCACGUCGCACCAAGAACAACCCGGUGCUGAUCGGGGAGCCUGGAGUGGGUAAGACCGCGAUUGUGGAAGGCAUUGCGCAGCAGGUGGUGCGAGGCGACGUGCCGGACACUCUCUCAGGUAUUCGCAUCUUCUCACUGGACAUGGGCGCGCUGAUCGCCGGCGCCAAGUACCGCGGCGAGUUCGAGGAGCGCCUGAAGGCCGUGCUGAAUGAGGUGAAGGAAAGCGACAAUAAGAUCAUCCUCUUCAUUGACGAGAUCCACCUCGUGCUCGGCGCCGGCAAGUCCGACGGCGCGAUGGACGCCGCGAAUCUGCUGAAGCCGCUGCUGGCCCGUGGCGAGCUGCGCACGAUCGGUGCCACGACGCUCGAGGAGUACCGCCAGUACGUGGAGAAGGACGCCGCCUUCGAGCGCCGCUUCAUGCCAGUGCAGGUGAAUGAGCCGUCUGUCGAGGAGUGUACGAGCAUCCUGCGUGGUCUGAAAGACCGCUACGAGCAGCACCACGGUGUGCAGAUCACGGACAAGGCCGUUGUGGUGGCGGCGCAGUUGGCUGGCCGCUACAUUACGAACCGCUUUCUGCCGGAUAAGGCUAUUGACCUUAUUGAUGAAGCGUGCGCCAACGUGCGCGUGACGUUGUCGUCGCGGCCGGCCGAAAUCGACGCCCUCGAGCGCAAGAAGCGCCAGCUGGAGAUCGAGGAGAAGGCGCUGCAGCGCGACAAGGACGCAUCGGCCAAGGAGCGGCUGAAAGCCGUGAAGGCGGAGAUUCAGAAGGUGGAGGAGAAGCUUGGCCCACUUCUUGCCAAGUACGAGCAAGAGCGUGGCCGUAUCGACGAGCUGCAGGCAACGCAGGCAAAGCUGGACGAGAAGAAGGUGAAGCUAGAGCGGGCGGAGCGGAUGCGUGACAUGGAGACGGCAGCAGAUCUUAAAUACAAUGUCAUCCCGAUCCUCCAGGACAGGAUCCGAUCCCUCAAGGAGGAGAUCGAGAAGCAGAAGGCAACGAUGCUGCAGGGCACCGUGACUGAGACGGACAUCGCCACCGUUGUGUCGCGCUGGACCAAUAUCCCGGUGACAAAGCUGAGCCAGACCGAACGCGAGCGCCUGCUGCACCUGGCCGACCAACUGCACCUCCGUGUGAAGGGCCAGGAUGAGGCGGUGAGCCGUGUCGCGGAGGCUAUUCUGCGCUCACGUGCGGGCCUGGCCCGCUCGGACCGGCCCACCGGCUCUUUCCUGUUUCUCGGCCCCACCGGCGUGGGCAAGACAGAGCUGUCCAAGGCCGUCGCCUCAGAGCUCUUCGACGAUGCCAAGUACAUGGUGCGACUGGACAUGAGCGAGUACAUGGAGCAGCACUCUGUGGCGCGGCUGAUCGGCGCCCCGCCGGGGUACGUCGGCCACGAAGAAGGUGGCCAGCUGACGGAGCCGGUGCGCCGUCGCCCAUACACGGUGGUGCUGCUGGAUGAGGUGGAGAAGGCGCACCCGAACGUCUUCAACGUACUGCUGCAGGUGCUUGAUGACGGGCGGUUGACUGACUCGCACGGCCGAACCGUGAAUUUCUGCAACACGAUCAUCAUCAUGACAUCCAACUUGGGUGCGCAGUAUCUGCAGAACAUGGACACCUCACCGAAGGCCUACGAAGUGGCACAGACACAGGUGAUGGGCGAGGUGAGGAAGUUCUUUCGCCCGGAGUUCAUCAACCGACUGGAUGACAUCAUCCUCUUCCGCUCUCUGGGCUUAAAGGAGAUGACCGGCAUCAUCGACCUCAUCACCGAGGAGCUCAAUGGCCGUCUCAAGGACCAGUCCAUCCGGGUUUCCCUCACAGAAGAGGCUAAGAACUACGUAUUGGAGUCCGCCUUCGACGCGGAUAUGGGCGCUCGCCCACUACGGCGCUGGGUUGAGAAGAACAUCACAACAGAGCUCAGCCGCAUGAUCAUCUCGCAAGAGCUGUCGCCGAACAGCACGGUGAAAGUGACUCUCAGCAGCAAUCAUAAAAAGCUCUCCUUCUCGGUGAAGCGGACGGCAGCGCAGACAUGAAUCGCGGCGGCGGUUGCGGACUCGGACAGCGCUGAUGCUGAGAACGGCGCCGAAAGCCGGUCCGCUUCCGCCAAUGGACAUGGAGAGGCAAAGCGAAGGCGAGCUGAGUAGCGGCAGGCAUGACCGGUGCCGCCGCCGCCGGUGUUUUUUUUUUCGUUCGGUGGUGAGUACUACCAGCGUUUCAGCUCUCUGCUCCCUCUGCCUCAGAACAGUACAGCGCCCUACCUGCCUGCGCUGACGAGGUUUCUGCUUCUGCAGUUCUUGCCCGCCUAUGCGCGCGUUGGCGUUCUUCUGGCCACAUCGCGUCUGUUGAGCUUCUUUUCAUUGUCUGCGCGUGCGCGUUGUGUGCGCCUCUUCAUGGCCCGUCCGUGAUCGCGGAUUUUUUUUUUUGACUUCGUUAUUCUUGGGUGUGUGGGUGUGGAGUGUCCUUCCCUGCCCUCCAUGGCCGCCAACUCCCUUCUCUCUCUCCCUCUCGCUUUCCCACUCGUCUUCUCAGUCUGCUUCUUUUUGUGCUCUCGUUCUCUCUCUUUCUUGAGGCCUCUCUCAUGGAAGCGCAGCUGAGAGUGAGUAUGUGUGGGCAGGCGAUCCACUCCUCUUUUUGCGUGCAUGCUGGAGAGAGGAGAGGCGCUGAGGAUGGCGCGUCCCUGCAGAGGCAACCAACUCAAAACGCGGAAAAAUCGAAGCGAGAACAACAAAGCCGAAAACACGUACACACACACACACACACACACACCUAUAAAUGCGACGCGAAUGCGCGUUGCGGCGGCCGCCGCUGUCCUCUUACCCAGCGGUCCAUCCUGUGCAUACUCGACGCACCUUUUCCUUUGUUUUCCCGCCCUCCUGGUCAGAUGUGCGCGUGUGCGUGCAUGUCUGGGUGUGCGUCUGGGAUGGUGCAUCCGUUUUGUAAACUCUGCUGACCGCCGGAGAAGAGGUGGGCGUGCGUGCGCAGGCUCCGGGAAGGUGCGGCGCUGCUGCUCUCGUGGAUGCGGGUGUUUCUUUCUUUUUCUGUGCCGUUUUGAUGUUGUUGCUAUUUCCUCCCCUCCCCCCAUACCCACUUCUCCAGAUUUGUGGUGACCUUUCGUUUAUGUUGUUUUGCUGAUGCGGCUCAUCAGCAGUGGCACACGGCCAUGCUGUGGCGCAUUGCUGGUGCGCCGCACCUUUUCGGCCUUGCCACUUUUUGUCUUCCCUCUUGGAUCUCUUGCCAUGAUGACAACGAGGGGAGGGAGGGGGGGGCUGCCUCAGCGCAUGGUAUCGUGGGGUGCCGUACUCCCACGUUCUGCGGGGAGGCUAAGCAAGCCCCCCUCCCCUCAUCCCUUGCCGAAUGCCGAUCCGCCUCUGGUGUUGACAAGAUCAAGGGCCAUGCAUCAUGGAGAGGUGAGAGCGAUGUGCCGCUACUGACGUCGGCGGCCAGGUCGUGGAUGGCGCUGCGUCGGUGCAACCUGCGGCAGUGGACAGACUUGUGCCGCUUAUAGGAUUGCCAGAGUGGAGUUCAAGCCUUGUAUUGUGCCAGAAUCGGCACACUGAC